Molecule: ribosomal RNA, 559 nt
Filed under: Cercospora zinniicola
Lineage: Eukaryota; Fungi; Ascomycota; Dothideomycetes; Mycosphaerellales; Mycosphaerellaceae
Description: eukaryotic LSU rRNA
Rfam family: 5.8S ribosomal RNA (bases 198-351)
Source: RNAcentral
AGUAAAAGUCGUAACAAGGUCUCCGUAGGUGAACCUGCGGAGGGAUCAUUACUGAGUGAGGGCCUUCGGGCUCGACCUCCAACCCUUUGUGAACACAACUUGUUGCUUCGGGGGCGACCCUGCCGUUUCGACGGCGAGCGCCCCCGGAGGCCUUCAAACACUGCAUCUUUGCGUCGGAGUUUAAGUAAAUUAAACAAAACUUUCAACAACGGAUCUCUUGGUUCUGGCAUCGAUGAAGAACGCAGCGAAAUGCGAUAAGUAAUGUGAAUUGCAGAAUUCAGUGAAUCAUCGAAUCUUUGAACGCACAUUGCGCCCCUUGGUAUUCCGAGGGGCAUGCCUGUUCGAGCGUCAUUUCACCACUCAAGCCUCGCUUGGUAUUGGGCGCCGCGGUGUUCCGCGCGCCUCAAAGUCUCCGGCUGAGCUGUCCGUCUCUAAGCGUUGUGAUUUCAUUAAUCGCUUCGGAGCGCGGGCGGUCGCGGCCGUUAAAUCUUUUAUAAGGUUGACCUCGGAUCAGGUAGGGAUACCCGCUGAACUUAAGCAUAUCAAUAAGCGGAGGAAG